This 497-nucleotide ribosomal RNA is filed under the name uncultured bacterium. RNAcentral's name for it is "partial 16S ribosomal RNA". It matches the Rfam family "Bacterial small subunit ribosomal RNA", at positions 28 to 507 of the family's 1533-position model. The record is from RNAcentral.
GAUGAACGCUGGCGGCGUGCCUAAUACAUGCAAGUCGAGCGAACAGACGAGGAGCUUGCUCCUCUGACGUUAGCGGCGGACGGGUGAGUAACACGUGGAUAACCUACCUAUAAGACUGGGAUAACUUCGGGAAACCGGAGCUAAUACCGGAUAAUAUAUUGAACCGCAUGGUUCAAUAGUGAAAGACGGUUUUGCUGUCACUUAUAGAUGGAUCCGCGCCGCAUUAGCUAGUUGGUAAGGUAACGGCUUACCAAGGCAACGAUGCGUAGCCGACCUGCGAGGGUGAUCGGCCACACUGGAAGUGAGACACGGUCCAGACUCCUACGGGAGGCAGCAGUAGGGAAUCUUCCGCAAUGGGCGAAAGCCUGACGGAGCAACGCCGCGUGAGUGAUGAAGGUCUUCGGAUCGUAAAACUCUGUUAUUAGGGAAGAACAAAUGUGUAAGUAACUAUGCACGUCUUGACGGUACCUAAUCAGAAAGCCACGGCUAACUACGUG